This 113-nucleotide ribosomal RNA is filed under the name Longispora fulva. The record is from RNAcentral. Lineage: Bacteria; Bacillati; Actinomycetota; Actinomycetes; Micromonosporales; Micromonosporaceae.
UACGGCGGUCAUAGCGAAGGGGAAACGCCCGGUAACAUUCCGAACCCGGAAGCUAAGCCCUUCAGCGCCGAUGGUACUGCCCUGGGGACGGGGUGGGAGAGUAGGACGCCGCC